RNAcentral lists this ribosomal RNA (460 nucleotides) under uncultured bacterium. Its description in RNAcentral is "partial 16S ribosomal RNA". It matches the Rfam family "Bacterial small subunit ribosomal RNA", at positions 338 to 795 of the family's 1533-position model. The record is from RNAcentral.
CCUACGGGAGGCUGCAGUGAGGAAUAUUGGUCAAUGGGCUUACGCCUGAACCAGCCAAGUCGCGUGAGGGAAGACUGCCCUAUGGGUUGUAAACCUCUUUUGUCAGGGAGCAAUUGGCGCUACGUGUAGCGUUAUCGAGAGUACCUGCAGAAAAAGCAUCGGCUAACUCCGUGCCAGCAGCCGCGGUAAUACGGAGGAUGCGAGCGUUCUCCGGAUUUAUUGGGUUUAAAGGGUGCGUAGGCGGAAUGCCAAGUCAGCGGUAAAAUCGCGGGGCUCAACCUCGCUCCGCCGUUGAAACUGGCGGUCUUGAGUGGGCGAGAGGUAUGCGGAAUGCGUGGUGUAGCGGUGAAAUGCAUAGAUAUCACGCAGAACUCCGAUUGCGAAGGCAGCAUACCGGCGCCCAACUGACGCUGAAGCACGAAAGCGUGGGUAUCGAACAGGAUUAGAUACCCGAGUAGUC